CAGCAGCCGCGGUAAUACGUAGGGUGCAAGCGUUAAUCGGAAUUACUGGGCGUAAAGCGUGCGCAGGCGGUUUGUUAAGACAGAUGUGAAAUCCCCGGGCUCAACCUGGGAACUGCAUUUGUGACUGGCAAGCUAGAGUCUGGCAGAGGGGGGUGGAAUUCCGCGUGUAGCAGUGAAAUGCGUAGAUAUGCGGAGGAACACCGAUGGCGAAGGCAGCCCCCUGGGCCAACACUGACGCUCAUGCACGAAAGCGUGGGGAGCAAACAGGAUUAGAUACCCGAGUAGUCCCUGUCUCUUAUAC
This 301-nucleotide ribosomal RNA is filed under the name uncultured bacterium. Its description in RNAcentral is "partial 16S ribosomal RNA". It matches the Rfam family "Bacterial small subunit ribosomal RNA", at positions 509 to 807 of the family's 1533-position model. The record is from RNAcentral.